UUGCCGUGGGGAAACCUUUUGUUGGCCAUGUCCCAGCUGAUGCUGUUGCUCCCGAGGAGGUGGUUUGGUGAGGUUUGGAUAGGUGUCCACAGCCCCUGGCAGGGCUGGCGGGCUCAAGCAGCCCACUCUGCUACCCAGGAGCAGGUGGGCCCCGGAAUGCAGGGACAAGAAAGGGGCUCCUUCACAUGCCUAUUCCCUGCAUAUUGUAUUUGUUUAUUUAUUUGUUGUGUUUAUUUAUUUAUUUACAGCACAGGCAGCAUUAGCCCCAGAGGCUGGCAAGGCGGCUGAGUGGAUGCAGACGAGCUGCUCUCCCCAAGCGGGCGGACUCUGCCAACACCUGUGAAGUGAAAACCCGUCUGCGCCGCAGAUCUUCUGUGUUGUACUGGACCCAGCCCUUUCCAGCUGAGCUGUGGUGACCCUAGACACUGUCCUGAGAUAUGUUUUGGGGCUGCUGUCCGGGCUCUGGUGCUACGUGCAGCUGCUCUUGAAUAUCUUCAACUGAUCAUCAGCUGGUACGUCUCUGGAAUAGCUGAAGUGAAACAAACUUCUCAUGAUCCACCUACCUUGAAGAACAGAACCACUCUGUGAGUGAGAAAAGCCUGACUGCUGGCUGCCUUUCUUGCCUUCCAAAUCUUAGAGCAGCAAGAAAUGGAGACAUGGUUUGGGUCAGCAUCCAGGUACAGAGCACGCUUCACCUCCCAUGAACUGGGGAUGGGGAAGCAAAGGGAAGAGUGCUGCAGAGCUGAUUGUCUGCUCUCGAAGGCUUCCUGGUAGGGAGAGUCCUCAGGAUCAGAGCUGCUCCGAGCUGCUGAGGCAUGCAGAGGAGCUGCAGAUGGGGCUGAGAGUACAGCUUGAUACUUCUCUGUUCAGCCACCAGUCACAGCAUUAUCAAAUGCUCACUAGAGGUGGGUACCAAGGCUGCUAGAAGGGCUGAAGGCAAAGCAGGAGAUCUGCUUUUAAUGAAAAGAUAGUUUAACGCACAGCUUCUUUCUUCCUAUAAUGACAAAAUGGAUAUGAAACAGUUACACUCCAGACCCUUACUUUUUUUAGUGCUAUUUAUUUUUUUCACAACAUUUAAAACAAAACAAGCAAAAAAAGGGAAGGGAACAAAAAAGGAAAAAGAAAACUCCCUUCAGACAACAAUC
This is a non-coding RNA of Lonchura striata (white-rumped munia), 1145 nucleotides long. NCBI's taxonomy places the organism in Eukaryota, Metazoa, Chordata, Aves, Passeriformes, Estrildidae. The record is from RefSeq and is a predicted model, not a curated record.